Molecule: long non-coding RNA, 3310 nt
Filed under: Equus caballus (horse)
Lineage: Eukaryota; Metazoa; Chordata; Mammalia; Perissodactyla; Equidae
Description: lncRNA (ENSECAG00000051848.1)
Source: RNAcentral
GUGGUAAUGCCUAGGAGCCACUGAGGGUAUCAUGUUUUAGCGUAAUUUUUGAGAAGGCUCUCUGUCAGGGGGAAAAGGAUAUAAUCAGAACUUUUCAGUUUGUGGGAUUGAAAAGCAAAAUACUCCUAAGACCUUUAAGGAAAGAAAUUUAAAGAAAGGACAGUGAUUUGGGGUCUUCAGUCUUUUAACAUGGUGAAGAAUGGAAGUUGCCCUGUGUGACCUUGGAAAACAAGUGUGUGGCAACCUCUGUGGGGUUUAUCUCUGGGUGAGUGAGCUCAUCCCUCCUGACCCAAGGCAGCCUGACCAAGGGUGUGUGUCACCAGAGUCUGACAGUCUAUUGGACUAGCUUUCAACAGUAACACCAGGUAGCAGAAAGAAGAAAUGGCAAAACUAGCUCUCUUUCUGUUCCAUUGUGGAAGACAGAAAGAACCUCUUUUCUACUAGGAAAAGCCAGGGAUUUUGGAGAAUUCAGGGCAAAGGAGGAGAAGAAGGAAGAUGCUGAACUUCCUACUAAAAAUACAGGACUCAUCUGAAUAAUCCAGGAUAAUCUCACCAUCUCGAAGUCCUUAAUUUAUUCACAGCUGCAAAAUCUUUGGCUUAUAAGGUAACAUUUAUAGGUUCUGAGACUAGAACCUGAUAUCUUUGGGGUGGCAUUUUCAGCCUAACCACACAUGGGAAUAUAUAGUCUAUUUAAAUGAAAAUUUCCAAUGUUACAGAUAAAGCUAAAAUCCCAUUUGACCUCUGCUCUCAAUCCUAGCCUACUCUACAUUCCCUAGAGGUCACCACAAUGUUUAGUUUGUUAUAUUUCUAGUACUUUUAAGAAACUUUUAGCUCCCUGUAUAUAUACAUCUGUGGAAAAGGUAUGGCAUUGUUUGAGUGUAUGUGUGUAUGGAAGCCCCCCAAAAUUAACAAGCUAUACUAGUCAUUUUGCAACUUGGCUUCUUUUUACUUGAAAUGUUUUUGGGAUAAAGUUGCAUUGAUGCAGUUAAAAAUAUAUAUAUAUAUAUGUAUAUUUUUUAUUAUAGUAUUUCAUCUUGGGUAUGUACCACAUUUUUUCUUCUCCCCUGUUUAUGGAUGUUUAAGUUAUUUCUAAUCUUUUGCUAUUAUAAAGAAUAUCCUGGUACAGGCAUCCUCUGUACAGAUGUGUACUGUUAAAAGAGUGUACGAAAGAACAGCUUUCCCCACAAGCUGACCUAUACUUCACGGUCUCAGAUAUUUUAAUUUUUGUUCAGCUUAUUAAUCCAUCUAGACUUUAUUUGUGUGUUUUAUGUGAGGUAAAGUUUUAAUUUUAUUUUUUUCUAUUUUGUUAGCCAAUUUUCAAACAUUAUUUAUUGAACCUUCCAUACUUUCCCCAUUUGACUCAUCUGUCAUGUAGCAAGUUAGUUUAUAUGCAUAAGGCUGUUUACUGUGCCCUUAUUUUGUAUUAGGAAAUUUUUUGGUAUUGUUAUUUUACUUACCUUUCUCCAUAGGACUUGUCUACGCUUAAUUUGCUCAUUUGUUCAUGAGCUCAUUCCUACUACGAUAAGAGAAUUUAUAUCUAUUUUGUAUCCUAAGCACAUAGAAUAAUGCCUGGUACAUAAUAGAUGCUCAAUAAACACAUUGCAUUAAUACAUUUUUAAAUUGGCCAGCUUAUACAGUCACUUAAAGUGAUAUUUUCUCUGAUAUAUUACCCUUGUGUGUGUAUGUAUACAUAUGUAUAUACCACUAGACACAUAAUUUAGUUAAAACAUUUAGCCUUAAUUGGAGCUGAAAACUGCUUCCUAAUUUUGGGAGACUGUUCCCUAAGGGUCUCUCAUAUUUCUACAUGUCUUGUGAGCAGAAAUACUGAAUGCCUUUGUUUCAUACUGUCCCCUCAAGGAUGUUUUUAUACCCAGGUGUCCCAUGGGUCAAUUCAGCUUGCUAUCUGUUUUUAUAAAUAAAGUUUUAUUGGAACUCACCACAUUAAUUGAUUUACAUACUGUCUAUUUCUGUUUUCACACUACCAUAGCAGGGUAGAAUAAUUGUGGCAGAGAUCAUAUGAUCCACAAAGUUUAACAUAUUUACUAUCUGUCUCUUUACAAAAAAAUUUGCUGACCCCUGGUAUAGCAAAUAUCCUUAAAAGGUAGAAAUAGUAUGGCCCUCCAGAUCAAAAAGCAAGAUUGUUUAUUGUCCAGUAUAAUAAAUGUCGCUUUUUGGUACAAGGUCAGGCAGGCUUAUUGCCCAUUAUGAAAGAUUCGAGUUUCCUAAGUUCAGGAUUUAUAUUGUACUCCUGUAAUACAGCCUACUCCAUGUGCAGACAUCACUGGCUCUCUGUACUUCAUCCUAUAGGAAUUGGGGUUCCAGGAAACAGUACAAAUGCUGAUACUCAGGUUGCUGCUAUUGCUGUGACUAAUAAACUGUUCUUGUCUCUGACUCUGGAGAUUCAUAUCUUCUACAGGCAUCUAGGAAACUGUGGCAGGCAAAUUCGUUAGCUUGCAGGUAGGGUAGUCUCUGACAUUUCACAGUUCUUGACCAUUUAUCUACCAGACUUUUAUUUCCAAAAUUUAAAACUAGUACGUCUAACGACUGCAGAAAAAUUCUAUAUUAGCCCUCAAAUUUAGAUUUCAAAACAUGCUUAGAGAGGGCACUGAUUUGUGAAAAAUAGAUCAUAUACUUCCAACAUUUUGCCCCAGACAACUCUAUAAACUCUUACACUUAUUUAAAAAGACUAUAUAUGUAAUGAAAAAUCAUAUAGGAGCUUUAGAGAAAACUUGGAAAAAUAAACAGAGAAACGAGUUGCCUAUAAUAUCAUUAUUGUGACAUAACUACUAUUAAAAUGUCUUUAGAAAUUUCUGCCUCUGAUCCACUCUGCCACAUUUUCUUGACAUUUCUUGAUAUCAACAUCACAAAGGUAAGGACAGACCUCAAAUAUGCCAGAUUUUCUUUAACAAUGUAUGGUGUAACUUUAAUUCGUGAUUUUUCUUUUCUUUUUGGCUUUCGAUAUAUUUUUAAUCUGUGCCACUUAACGAAGGUUUACUACCUCCUAACUGACUUUUUUUUUUUUUUUUGAGAAAGCUUAGCCCUAAGCUAACAUCUGCUGCCAAUCCUCCUCUUUUUGCCCAGAAAGACUGGCCCUGAGCUAAGGUCUGUGCCCAUCUUCCUCUACUUUAUAUGUGGGACGCCUACCACAGUAUGGCUUGAAAAACUGUGUGUAGGUCGGCACCCAGGAUCCAAACCAGCCAAUCCUGGACCACUGAAGCAAAAUGGGCGAACUUAACCGCUGCGCCCCCGGGCUGGCCCCUUAACAGACUUUUUAUCUGGUGACAUUUGCAUUGUUCUAAUAUCCUGAGAA